AACGCACAUUGCGCCAUUAGGUUCUCCUAAUGGCAUGCUUGUUGGAGCGCCGAUCUUUCUCUCAUACUACUUCAUUGUAGUACGAGGUUCUGCUCCUUUUAGGAGUCAAAAGAAUGGAAGUGCACACGUUAGAUAACUCUGUGCAGUUACUUACAAUCUUUUGGCCUCCAAUCAAGCAAGGCUACCCGCUGAACUUAA
This 198-nucleotide unclassified non-coding RNA is filed under the name uncultured Saccharomycetales. RNAcentral describes it as "sequence contains 5.8S rRNA gene, ITS2, 28S rRNA gene". Lineage: Eukaryota; Fungi; Ascomycota; Saccharomycetes. The record is from RNAcentral.